Molecule: ribosomal RNA, 326 nt
Filed under: uncultured eukaryote
Lineage: Eukaryota
Description: partial 18S ribosomal RNA
Rfam family: Eukaryotic small subunit ribosomal RNA
Source: RNAcentral
CCCCUUAGAUGUUCUGGGCCGCACGCGUGCUACACUGAACGGAUCAACGGGUGAGAUACUGCGAAAGCAGAAUCCAAUCUCUAAAUCCGUUCGUGCUGGGGAUAGAAGCUUGCAAUUCUCCUUCUUGAACGAGGAAUACCUUGUAAGCGUGAGUCAUCAUCUCGCGCUGAAUACGUCCCUGCCCUUUGUACACACCGCCCGUCGCUCCUACCGAUUGAGUGGUCCGGUGAGGCUUUGGGAGGGUUGAACGGAAUGUGGUUUUUCACGAUCUGUUUGGCCUAAACUUAGUCAAACCUUACUACUUAGAGGAAGGAGAAGUCGUAACA